AUUGAACGCUGGCGGCAGGCCUAACACAUGCAAGUCGAGCGGCAGCGGAAGGAAGCUUGCUUCCUUGCCGGCGAGCGGCGGACGGGUGAGUAAGGUAUGGGGAUCUGGCCGAAGGCGGGGGAUAACCACUGGAAGCGGUGGCUAAUACCGCAUAAUCUCUAAGGAGCAAAGUGGGGGACCGUUCAGGCCUCACACCUUCGGAUGAACCCAUAUGAGAUUAGCUAGUAGGUGGGGUAAUGGCUCACCUAGGCGACGAUCUCUAGCUGGUCUGAGAGGAGGAUCAGCCACACUGGGACUGGGACACGGCCCAGACUCCUACGGGAGGCAGCAGUGGGGAAUAUUGCACAAUGGGCGCAAGCCUGAUGCAGCCAUGCCGCGUGUAUGAAGAAGGCCUUCGGGUUGUAAAGUACUUUCAGUCGUGAGGAAGGUGUUAAGGUUAAUAACCUUAGCAAUUGACGUUAGCGACAGAAGAAGCACCGGCUAACUCCGUGCCAGCAGCCGCCGUAA
RNAcentral lists this ribosomal RNA (507 nucleotides) under uncultured bacterium. RNAcentral's name for it is "partial 16S ribosomal RNA". It matches the Rfam family "Bacterial small subunit ribosomal RNA", at positions 30 to 523 of the family's 1533-position model. The record is from RNAcentral.